UGGGGAAUAUUGCACAAUGGGCGCAAGCCUGAUGCAGCCAUGCCGCGUGUAUGAAGAAGGCCUUCGGGUUGUAAAGUACUUUCAGUCGGGAGGAAGGUGGUAAGGUUAAUAACCUUGGCAAUUGACGUUACCGACAGAAGAAGCACCGGCUAACUCCGUGCCAGCAGCCGCGGUAAUACGGAGGGUGCAAGCGUUAAUCGGAAUUACUGGGCGUAAAGCGCACGCAGGCGGUUGAUUGAGUCAGAUGUGAAAUCCCCGGGCUUAACCCGGGAAUUGCAUCUGAUACUGGUCAGCUAGAGUCUUGUAGAGGGGGGUAGAAUUCCAUGUGUAGCGGUGAAAUGCGUAGAGAUGUGGAUGAAUACCGGUGGCGAAGGCGGCCCCCUGGACAAAGACUGACGCUCAGGUGCGAAAGCGUGAGGAGCAAACAGG
This 429-nucleotide ribosomal RNA is filed under the name Chloroflexota bacterium. RNAcentral describes it as "Chloroflexi bacterium partial 16S ribosomal RNA". It matches the Rfam family "Bacterial small subunit ribosomal RNA", at positions 355 to 776 of the family's 1533-position model. Lineage: Bacteria; Bacillati; Chloroflexota. The record is from RNAcentral.